CAAUAACGGCUCAUAGGGGUCCAGCGGUAGUAAAAUGGAAAGCCCAAGCAAUUGGUCAAUGAUUGAGAAACGUCCAUUUAAAAUUCAAUUUCUCCAUACAAAUGUGAGAAAAGUCCGAAGCAAAAAAGGUUAGAUAGUAUGCCAUGUUUAACUUGAAAUUCAAAAUAAGGUCAUCAAUUACACACGAUAGAUCUAUGCGGUUGAAUCGAAUCAAAAGCUUAACAAAUUUGCCUUUUCAUAUAACAUCCAAACAAAAUAACAGGGGCGUGUAUACAUACCCGAUUGAGUUGAGACAACAAAAUUGAGAGCCUAAUCCAUCCGAAAAUAGCCAGCUCCUCUAAUUGGAAUCAAACAAACAAUCAAUGCCCAAAUGAAAACGAGAAUGCAACUGUAAGGCUCAGCAGCAUCAAAUCAAGCAGCGAGAGCAGAAUCAAAUGACCACGAAUCGCAGCGAAAUCUCGAACGAGCCUAGACUUCUUGCAGGGAAUUAAGAUCCGAUUGGAGCUGGUUCAAGGACUGAUUUACUGCUGAGUGUUUUUGAACUAUUUAAAUGAUUUUAGUGGGAAAAUUGGACCCUUUUGUGGAGAAAAUGUUGUUGCGUCUUUUUUCAGAGGAGAGCCUUCUGCAAAUUUUUCGCGUGUAUUCUUGUAGAGGAGCGGAUCUGCCCGUUUUUGCCAGGGGUAGGGUCACACAUUUGGCGUGUUUGUAAGGGGGAAGGAAUUUGGAUCGGGUAUGGGUGCAAUUUGGGCUGGGCGUAAAUCUGUUUUGCGCCAGGAAAUUUUGAUUAAAAAAUCAGCCCAAAAUUGGUCUUUUGCAAGACCAACUCUUUUCAAAGCUUUUCUUUUUAUUUCUUUAUUUUUGUUUGCUUUUCCAAUUUGUAUUUUUUGUAUUAUUCUUUCUGAUUUUAUAAAGGUGCAAAAAUUAAAAUAGAGUCUUAAUGUAUUUCAAAGCUAAACUAAUUAACUCCUAAAAUUAUUUAAAACCUAUUUCAUGAUAAAUUCACAAUUAAAACAAUUAAAAUGCAAAAAUGAACAAUUUUUGUUAUUUUUCAUAUUUGAUUCUAAAACAAAUUAACCCCUAAUUAAUGCUAAAAAUGAAAUUAGAUCCUAAAUUCAAAUUCAUAUUUUUGUAUUUUUUAUAUGAAUUAAAAUGCACAAAUAAAAUGCAACAAUUACCGAAAAAUGACACAAAAAUUCACAAAAAUUGUAAAAACAAGGGGAAAAAAUCAUUUUGUUUGAAUUUUUUUUGGAAUUCAUUCACAUAUAGGGCAAAAAUCACGUGCUCACAACCAAGAGGGGUGACGGUUUUUUUUCCUCUACUGCAUUUCUCUUGUAUAAUCCGUCCUUGGUUGAAGCUUGGACCAGUAGGGUUUUUCUAUGGUUGUGGGGUGGAUAAGGAUUUUUUGGAGUUGGAGCACGCCAUUAUGGGUAAGGAGGGGGUUGAGCAUAUGACUGUGCAUGGUGAACAUGAUACUGGGGUAGUCUGACAGAGUAUUGAGGGUCUUGUAGUGGGAAAUAAUGUUGGGGUUGAUUGUAUGGAGCUUGAGUGUGGGCUUGAGGUUGGGGCCAGGGAUGAGUGUACUGGUGAGGCAAAAUCCUCGAUCCAUGCCAUGGUUCAGAGACAACCAUAGCGACAUCUUCCUUCUUCUUUUUGCCCUGCAAACUUCCUGUGCCACUUUGAAUUGCAUGUGUAAUUGCUUUUACGGAAAAAUAGCUCAUAAUCUUGCUUGACUUGAGUCCCUCUUCCACCAUUCCUCCCAUCUUUACCACAUCAUUGAAGGACUUACAUAUGGCUGAGAUCAAAUGGCCAAAGUAAAUAGACUCUAAGGCUUGAAAAAAGUACCCGACCAUCUCGUCUUCUUGCAUCAGAGGAUUGACUCGUAUCACUUGCUCUCUCCAUCUGAACCUGUUUUCCCUAAAGCUUUCAUUGGGAUUCUUUUCUACCUUGGUAAGGGAUAGGCGAUCGAGGAUAAUGACUAUGUUGUACUGAAAGUGCCGAGAAAAAGUCUGAGCCAAAUCAUCCCAUGUGUACCACCUGCUAGUAUCUUGGCGGGUGUAUCACUCCAAAGCCUCCCCAUUCAUACUCUGAUUGAAAUACGCCAUCAAUAAUUCUUCUUUCCCACCGCCGCCUCUCAUCUUGUUGCAAACACCUCUCAAAUUGGCCACGGCAUCUCUGUGUCAAUCGUACAGGUCUAACUUGGGCAUCUUGAAACCAACGGUCAAUUGGACGUCUUCGAACAAGCACAAGUCAUUGUAAGCCACACUUACUUGACUUCAUAUCCCUUGCAUAUUCUUCAAACAUUUCUCUAAACUCUUCACUUUCAUGAAUAUCUCAUCUUGCUCCACGUUCUUGGAUGGUUUCUCGGUUUCAACAAGUGGCUCAAAGUGAGGGGUGUAGGGAUAAGAAUCCGGGACCUUGAAGGUUGGUUCUAGGGCAUAUAGGCGGGCAUCUAGAGCUUGGAAUACGGGUUCUAUAGAGGAUCGGUGGAGGGUAUCUUGUGAAGGAGCUACAAAAAUAGGAACAAACAUCGGAGUACGGUAUGAGGUUGUUUUGACUGGUGGAGCAUGGAAAAUUUGGGAUGAGAUACAUGGGUAAUUGUGGUAAGGGGUAAAGCACGGUACAUGUUAAGGGGAAGAUCAAUGGUAAUGAGAACCUGGGCUUGUGGCAGUGGUGGAAUGAAAGCAUGGUUUUCUGUAUAGUUAGCAGGGAAUGAAGGUGGAGGAUGUCCCAUAAUCCAGGCCUGACAUAUUUUCACCAUUUGAUGCUUCAACCUAUGGACCUCCUUUUUCAAACCAGAGACUCAUUUUACAAUCUCCGUCGGCGGGUCAACAACACAUGUGCCCGAUACUUUGCUAGUCAUAGCUGACUUGCGCUUCGACCUAGUGUUAUAUGGAUGACUUGCCAGAAUGCCAACAAACUAACCACCUACACAGAACCUGGCUCAAUGCACAUCCAAUACAUUGGUUAGUUUUGAGACGCUUAACCGAUAGGAAAUCGCACGUUAGGAUGCAAUGCACCUAAACAGUUAAACGCUUUUACCAUAUGUUUGAACGGCUGGAUGUUUCAUCCAAGCUUUAUCUAACCCUUUUUCACUCUGUACCUUUUCAUUCCCUUCCGCCUUCCUUUUAAUCACUCUUGAUUUUCUCUUCUUUUUUUUGUCACUCUUUUAUUUUUUUUGCACUCUCUUUUUCUCUUUUGGUUUUUUCCCAUUUUUCUUUUUAUUUUCACUCAAUUUUCUUUUCUCUUUUUUUAAUGUUAUGGCUAUGAUCGAAUCUUAUGGAGAUUUCCUACAUAUCAUGACACCACAUGAAUCAGAUCAUUGCAUAGUUCAGAGAUAUAAAUGCAAAAUGAAAGACAAGAAUAUUUUUGGGGUUUUCAAAAUUUCAUUAAUAAAAGACACCUUUUUGGAUUUUUCUAUUACACAGACUCGGAAGUACUGAUGGCUAAAAAUAAACAUACAGACUUGAAACAAAACCAUAAACAUGCUCGAAAGGACAAAAUAGACUCAAAAUAAAUAAAGUACAUACUCAAAAAUCGAAAAUCAUGAAAUACAUAAGAGCCUCGAAUGCUACUUCAGGGGCUCGCGGGACAUUAGUCGGUCUCAACGCGGACCUGCGUUCAUUCUCUUAUUAAAGGUGAUCCAGAUCAGCCAUUACCUGGAGGAAAAAUGUCAUCAUGAAAGAAAAAACAUGGAUCUAGUCAUAUCCUCACAUUCAUGGCACUUCAUUGUAACAUAACAAGCUAUUUCUUUGUUUCUCAUUCUGAUGAUACCCUUUUCUUGAAGCAAACGCCGAUUUGUUAUGCACGAGAUUCCAACACCUACGUGGCUGUGUCAUUUUGGUCUUGCAGCUUUUGAAUGCUUGCUUCUAAUUGGUAAAUCAAAGCAUAACAAUGUUCUCUCAAUAUUUUGAAGUAUUUUGUUUGCUGAACUAUCUCAAUUUUUAGGGUAGUCAGUUUUUCCUUUAAGAACUUGACUCAUUUAUCAUAUUUUUUCUUCAACCCUUGAGCAAACCCUAUCCAUUCUUCCGCACCUUUUUCCAACUAUGCUCGAGAAUUUGCCAAGUCUUCCUCGGCCUUUGUCAAAUCAGCCCCAAAAUCACACAUUUCCUGCCUCAUAUUGGUUAUGAGUCUUUCAUCUUUUUCGCUUUUUACCGGGGUCUCAAUGGCUAUUUUCAUCUUUCAGAUCUGAGCUAUGAGGGAUUUAUUUUCCCGAGCCAACCUCUUCUUUUCUCCUUUAGCCUCAUCAGCCUGCAAACUACCAUCAAAUUUGAUGUUCCUGAUUUAAUCUUCUAGCAUACUUAUGGUGGCCUAGUAUUGGUUCUCUUUAGCUAACCAAGCCAAAUGUUCAUGUGAUGCAUCGACAAAUUCUUGGAUAUAGGGACUUUUGGUCGGCCUUUCAGAUUCUUCAUUUGUCGCGACUCUCUUUCCAUACCAAGCAACAUAACCAGGCAAAACGUCGCCCUUGGAAAAAUCACAUACUCGGGUGUUUGCUCCCAAAUAUUGGCAUUUGCUCCAAAUUUGGCGAACCAUUUAGUCAAGAAAUUGGGCAUCGGAAUGCACUUCAACCGCAUGAAUACUAAGAUCUUCAUAUCUGGGAACUAUCUAGCAUCUUCCAUGUUAUCUCAAAAUUCGGUAUAGGGCUAGGGAUUGAUGCUUCAGGGACCCAUUAGAAGGGAGUAGGGGCCAGUGGCAGGCAUAUAAAUGAUCUCAUUAACAAGAGCCAGCCCAAUGUCCAUUCUAUCUUAUCUCCGCUUAUGGAACGGAGGUGGAUGAUCCAAUCUUUGACCUUUUCUAGCAUUUUGUAUCCGGUCACUCGUGCCCCAAACUCUUCGAUGCAAUUUUUCCUUGUAGAACCAUAUUUUAUGUAGCAGGAUUAGUGACAAAGGCCCUCGAUCAUCCACAUUCAAGAGAUUGCACCCCUCAAAAAAUCUGACCCCGGCCUUACAUGAUGUAAGGGCUCAGAAUAUAUCUGAUACAAUCAUGGGCGCGAGGGUACUCUUAGCCUGAGUAGUCAAAACAUGGGAAACUCCGGCUACACGUAAAUCAAUGCACCUGUCCUUCCUUGGAAAUACCAAAAGGCAUGAGAAUGCCACUAUGAAGGCAAAGCAUCUAUGUAUUUUCCACUUUGAUCGGUUUCCUUUAUUGUAGAGUCCAUUUUAUGGGUCUUCAGAUCCACUUAAAUGCCUGUAUCGUUGGUAUAGAAAGUGUAAAAUGGAAGUUCCACGUGCUAGAUUUUCAGUCUUGAUUUGCCUGUUUAUUUUCAGUAAGUCUAGAAAUUUGUGGGGAGUAACAGUCUUGGAGAUACCAGGUACUUGUGUCUUAAUCCUUCCAUACUCCCGGCAUUGCCCACGAUUUCUCUCAAAGUAGGUAUAAACUCAAAAUCUGAGAAGUGCAAGAAAUUAUGAGUGGGGUCCCAAAAUGACUCUAAUGCCUCUAUCAGAUUACUUCUAGGUUUAAUAUUCAAUAGUCCAGUGAGUUACCCCAAAUAUUGGCUGACCCUGUCUCAUUCUUGUUUUUCCAAAUCCUUCAACCUGUGGAGUGCUAGUGGAAUAUGAUAGAUAACCUUCACAGAUAAAUUCCGAACAAUGCUCAUUCUGCACAUUUUAAAUUAGGGUAACCAGCUGAAAACAUGUGAAUUAUGUUUAAAAACUGACCAUGAAAAGAUUAUUUUUGCAAAAUCCAACUGAAAACAAAUCACUUCGGAAGGGAAGAUUUUUGAGUUGUGUUUGCUAAGUGGUCAAAUUUGAGAAAAGGACCAUAGGUAGCUAUUCUUGCAAAAUGUACUUUCGGCAUCUCGUCGGGAUAUUUCUAUCUAUUUGGAUAAUAUUUUCAUAUUUUGAUUAAUUUUGGAAAAGCAGGGGUGGGCCUGAUGAGGGUUGCCUACGUAUCUCACAUACGGUGAGAAUCAAACCCGCGUAGUUCGGUAAGUUUCGAUGCAACAAAAAAAUAUAACUUAUUUUGAAAUGAAUUUUUUUUAAGAAAACUUUUGGCACAGUCUCGGGAUAUUUUGAAUACCGGAGUUUUUAGAAUCGGGUGAUUUUCUUUUCUUCUCACUCGAUUUUUCUCAAUUUUUUUCCCUAUUCUAGAAGUUGGUCAACAUGCAAGCCGAAAAAAAUAAAUGCACAAGUAGCACAUAAAAAUGCAUCAGGGUGGUCUUUUAAAUUGGGUGUACCUGUCCUAGACAGACUCAACCCCUGUGUUGAGUCCCUAAAGUCAAAUGCACGUGAUGCAAGCAACCUUACCUACUAGGGAUCCGACAUGAGGCUGUGUUAUUCUAAGUUAAAAACCUGGAUAUAUUGUUCUAGACCGGGCUUACCUGAGCGAACAACUCGGGGGAGGGGGGAACAUACUAGUAACCAAAAGAUCAUUCGACUUUGUAACUGAUCCGAUCCUCGUUCUAAAUUAAGUUAUGCCACUAACAGAAUAGAAGUCACGCCGGCGUGCACUUCCCAAAAGAUUUAUAAGACUCAGGGAAAAGAAGGGUUUUGUAACAAUUUAUAUAGAGUUUAAACAAUAUCAAAGCAGUAAAAAGCGGCAUUUAGCACAUUAGACUGCUACUAAGUCCGCAUGAUCUAACAACUUCAACCUUCAAACCACAAGAAAUUUAAUAAUUGAUGCCACACAUCACUCAUAAAUUGAACAAGAAUAUCUAUUAUUCUGAAGAAAGAAAAAGAAAAUGGAGAAGACAACAUGACAUUCAAAUAGCUCUAUCGUAAUAAGAUUUACAGCAGCACAAUCAGUAAUCACAAUUGAAAUAGAAUUCAUGUACCAUGAGAAAGCAAAUAGUGGAUAGAUUUGACAAAAAAUAAGAAAAUCACACAUAUUUGAUGCACAAAAUCUAAACAUAGGCAUAGCAAGAACAAAUCAUAUCCUUGAAUCUAUAUUUAGUAAUGAUUCAAACAAAUAGAUAGAUUACAUACCUAUCAACAAGAACAAUAAAAGAAAAGAUGACCAAACAAAAGCUAAACUUGAGAGCAAAUAGAGCUUGAUUGAACAAGACCAACUAAGCAGUAAUCAAUAACCCAUUGUGCUAAAAUUCAACAACUUCAAAAGCCAAAAAAUAUACCAGAAAAUAGUGAAGUUGAAGUAGCCUCCCUAUUUCCAUUUUCUCUAUUUAAGUAUUUAUGCCCUUUUCGAGAAUAAAUAUGCAAAAAUUAACGUGUAGUGUGUGAGGGGGUGUGAGGUCUCUUUUACAAAGUGUGAGAGUACAAGAUGAUAUAGGCAAUGAGAGAGAGAGAUUGAGGGAAUUUGACAGCAUUCCCUUAAAAUUAGAAAAUUGGCUUCUUUUAAAAAUAGAAAAAUGGACAAUUGUCCAGCUUUUCAGCAUUCCUUGUUAAUAAUUUUGGACAGCUAGUCCCUUUCUGGAAACCUCCCACAAACACCUAAAAAUUCAUAUCUUUACUUUUCAAUUAACCCCCCUUAAGGUUCUCUUUUUUACAAAUAGCCACCUUAAUUUUGAUCUUUCUGAUUCUCAAUGCCCUAAGUUUUUAUGUUCCCCUAGCUCCCUCAAGUUUCAAUUAUGACAGAUAAACAUUAAAAAAUAUAUGAAUAUAAACAAAAUAUUAAUCAACCAAACUAUUUAACAAUUAAUUGUUAAACUUAUGCAAUUACACUAAAUAAUACAAUUGAACUAACUGAUUAUGCACCUAAUUAAAGCGUUCAAACAAAAUAUAAUUCGACAGAAUUUAGGUAUCAAUUCGGUUAGAACAGGAGAGCAAGCAGAAAUGAUAAAAAAAAAAAGAUAAUAAUCCAUCAGUUAUUCAAACAAAAUCAUGCAAGUAACUAUUAAUUAAAUCAUGCACACACUGAAUCAAAUGAAAUUAAUUCCUAAUAUGCUAAAAAGUAAUAAGAACAUAUUAAAACUCAUGAAGCAAUAGUAAAGAUAAUGGAAAAUUACCUAAACAUAGCAAGAAAGAUCUUCUGACAGAAUUUGGUCGAACCGUCAAAUCUGAACGCCUUCAAAAUGGACCAAAAAUGACACUAAUCAAUUUUUUCUCGCUAAGAACAAUCAAUUAGCAUAAUUUUCGGUCAAAUCGAGUCUUGAAACUCAACCAAAAUCGAAGGAGGAAGGAAAAAUAGGGUCUUUUUUUCUUCUUUUUAGAUUCGAAAUUGGAGAAGUUUGGUGGAGGUUUUGGGAAAAUUGGUAAGGAAUUAGAGUUAAGGCGGAGUUGGAGAGAGUGUAGGGUGUGAGUUUGGGGUUGUUUGGACGGUGGCCUACGGUGGCAAGGGCUUAGAAAUCCUAGGGCGACUACGGUUUGGUGAGGGGAAGGAGAUACAUCGAAUGGGGAGAGUUCUGCGGUU
This 8301-nucleotide long non-coding RNA is filed under the name Nicotiana benthamiana. Its description in RNAcentral is "long non-coding RNA (NBEN_LNC041163)". The record is from RNAcentral. Lineage: Eukaryota; Viridiplantae; Streptophyta; Magnoliopsida; Solanales; Solanaceae.